This 1591-nucleotide ribosomal RNA is filed under the name Nanorana pleskei (Tibetan frog). Its description in RNAcentral is "16S ribosomal RNA". It matches the Rfam family "Bacterial large subunit ribosomal RNA", at positions 372 to 2830 of the family's 2925-position model. Lineage: Eukaryota; Metazoa; Chordata; Amphibia; Anura; Dicroglossidae. The record is from RNAcentral.
GCCCUAAAUCAAGCCUAUAAACCCAUUCUAUAUAUUAAUAUACUUAUUAAUUUUUAAACAAAACAUUUUUAUAUUCUAGUAGAGGUGAUCAAAAAACUUAUAAGCGCUUUAUAAAAAGUACCGCAAGGGAGAGAUGAAAUAGAUUUGAAAUAGCCCUAAAGCACAACACAGCAGAGAUUAUACCUCGUACCUUUUGCAUCAUGGUUUAGCCAGUCACUAUCAAGCAAAGCGAGACAUCAGUUUGACCCCCCGAAACUAAGCGAGCUACUUUAGAACAGCUUCAUGGAGCUAACCCGUCUCUGUCGCAAAAGAGUGGGAAGAUUUUUAAGUAGAGGUGAAAAGCCUACCGAGCUUAGAGAUAGCUGGUUAUUCAGGAAAAGAAUUUUAGUUCUACCUUAAGUUUUUUUAUGUUUUUUAACAGUCCACGAAACUUAAGAGCUAUUCAAAUAAGGCACAGCUUAUUUGAAAAAGGGAACAACCUACAAUAAAGGGUAAAAUAUAUUAAUUUUUUUACUAAGUGGGCCUAAAAGCAGCCACCUUUAAAAAAGCGUUAAAGCUAUAUUUUUCAACUAUUAUACAAUGCCUUAAUAUACUUUAAACCCUUCAUCUGUACUGAAUGAUCCCAUACUCUUAUGGGAGCCACUAUGCUAAAACUAGUAACAAGAAAUUGAAUUUCUCAAAAUGCAAGCAUAAACCAACACGGACUUACCAUUGGUAAUUAACGCAAAUGAACCUACUAUAGUAACAUAGCCAGAAAAAUCUAUUAACCCCCCCACGUUAACCUUACACAAGAGCAUUACCGGAAAGAUUAAAAGAAAGAGAAGGAACUCGGCAAACCUUAACCCCGCCUGUUUACCAAAAACAUCGCCUCUUGAUAAGUUAUAAAAGGUCCAGCCUGCCCAGUGACUUAAUUAAACGGCCGCGGUAUUCUGACCGUGCGAAGGUAGCAUAAUCACUUGUUCUUUAAAUAAGGACUAGUAUCAACGGCAUCACGAGGGUUAUACUGUCUCCUCUCUCCAAUCAGUGAAACUGAUCUCCCCGUGAAGAAGCGGGGAUAGUUCUAUAAGACGAGAAGACCCCAUGGAGCUUUAAACUCAACAACAACCUCCCCCACAAAAUUCUGUAUAGCCACGGAAGUCCUGUUUGUUAGUUUUGGGUUGGGGUGACCGCGGAGAAAAACUAAACCUCCACGACGAACGGAAUUAACUCCUAAUCUAAGAGCCACCGCUCUAAGAAUCAAUAAAUUGACAUAAAAUGAUCCGAUAAUCGAUCAACGGACCAAGUUACCCUGGGGAUAACAGCGCAAUCCAUUUCAAGAGCUCCUAUCGACAAAUGGGUUUACGACCUCGAUGUUGGAUCAGGGUAUCCCAGUGGUGCAGCCGCUACUAAAGGUUUGUUUGUUCAACAAUUAAAACCCUACGUGAUCUGAGUUCAGACCGGAGUAAUCCAGGUCGGUUUCUAUCUAUAAAGUGGUACUCUUAGUACGAAAGGAUUAGAGUAACGCGGCCAAUAUACUCAACAAGCCGCAACCCCCAAUUAAUGAAUAAAUCUUAAUUAACAAGGGCCUACCAAUAUAUCUUAGACCAAGAUA